This 336-nucleotide long non-coding RNA is filed under the name Capsella rubella. RNAcentral describes it as "long non-coding RNA (CRUB_LNC003512)". Lineage: Eukaryota; Viridiplantae; Streptophyta; Magnoliopsida; Brassicales; Brassicaceae. The record is from RNAcentral.
CCUCUUACAUUUUUUAUAUGUAUCUUUUGAAAUUUCUAAAAUACCUUAUAUUUAUAUAUUAAUUAGUACAAUUUUUUCGUAUUUAAUUGUUUUUGGCGCGUGGACUAUUCCCAUCAUCGUAUUACAUAUAGUAGUAGAAGAAGAUUAUUAUAAAUGUCAAAAAAAAAAAAAAAGUAAUGCUUAAGAAGGUUGACUUUUUGCUUCCAAAGGCAAAAGACUUCAAAGCAAAGGAGCAGCAUCAAUUUAGUGACGUCAUUUGACGUAGAUUAUGACAUCAGCGACUCCCUUAUUGGGUCACAUGUGGCCCCAGCCCAGGCCUUUUAAGUUUUAACUGUC